This is an RNA transcript of Homalodisca vitripennis (glassy-winged sharpshooter), 2557 nucleotides long. It is a transcript of the gene named orexin/Hypocretin receptor type 1-like, with no coding region annotated. The record is from RefSeq and is a predicted model, not a curated record. The transcript is spliced from 7 exons. Lineage: Eukaryota; Metazoa; Arthropoda; Insecta; Hemiptera; Cicadellidae.
AAAGCUGAAAUUUUACAUGAAACUUCAUUUCUAUAGGCAAUAUCGUGUUUGAUGACCGUGCACGGGAUUUGGCUGAGCGUUAGCGAAGCUUAACUUUCCACCGGAUAUCUCAAGACUAUAGACUAAGAGUCAGGCUUUAAAUGCAAAAUAUUUGAUAUUCUCAUUUGUCUUCUACCAGUCUGUAUGUUUUGUGCAGAAACAUCGAAGAAUCAUUGUAUCGUGGAAUUGAAACUUUGUAACUAAUUUGCGUGUCCCUUCUUGCACGUGACUGACUGUCGCGUAGCCUAACCAUCUGCAGGAUACCUCGAGCACAUUUCCAUCUGCAAACCUUCAAUUUUGCAUUAAUCUUCAUUUCACAAAGUCAAGAAUGAGUUCGAUCGUGGUGCCUCCAUGGGAUUCGUUCGGCUGGUAAAUGUUAUCGUAACCGUCUGACCGGUGCUGGUAUACAUUUUCUGUUUUCCAGAUACCUCAGGAAUGAAAUGAGUUUUGGGCUUAAAAUCUUGCAUGCAACUGCAGCUUGUUGUGUCACAAGCACACAUACUCUGUUUUAAAUUAUGAAUAAAGUGAUUUAAUUACUGUUUCCAGAUCACAGUAAGUAAUAACUAAUAUAAGGCAUCAAGACCAAACUUGUAAGCCUUUUGUAAAACUUUUAAAACAAUACCCUAAAAAAGUUCCUUAAGCACAAUAUAGAUCAGUUAAUAAUGAAUAAAACAAAUAGUUCCACUAUCCAGAACAGCUCAGUGGGCAACGUACUAGAUUCAAUCUCCUGUGUGAGUUGGAAAAAGAAGUUUCAUGUCCUACCUAAAUGUGGCACGGAUAUUAUGAAAUAAAAAUGUGUUCGUGAAUGCAAGAAAAGCGUUUAUCUAGUGACGCUAUUACUGUUGUUAUGUUUUUUAUCUGGUGCACAAUAUUCGCCUACAGUAAUAAAUAAACAGAAGGGAUUUGGAAUGUUGUCUAAGUUGAAAUUAAUACUGAAUAAAUAUUCAAUAUUCAUCCAAAGUGGGGUAUUAACACAAGGUGUAAAAUGAGAACAAAAUAUUUUGUUUAGUUAACUGCUGAUUAAAGCCUUUAGGGAUAUCUCGUACCUCAUAAAUAAAGGUGUUAUAUUUUAUAAUUCUGGUAGUUUUUACUGAGCAAUUUUAGAGGUGGAUAUUAAUGUUUUUUUUUUCAGAAAAAAUGUUUGCCGUACAAGAAUUUAUCUGUAUGCGUCCACAAUUUUGUAAUGUAAGUAAAGUUGUUGUGUGAGAAAAUCUCCUGACUGAUGUCUUAAACUCAAUCACAUUGCGGUCCAUCGAGAAGCACAUGAAGGAACAUCCGGGGGUGAGGCAGAUGUCUCAGGAGGAGAUGGCGGUGGUCCUGAGGUGGCUGGAAGGAUGGAAGAACGACUCAGCGGAUCUCCGAGCGCCCCAGGUGAAGGCUUCCAUGACCGGCCUGUACCCGGGUCUGGUAGUCCUGUACAGUCUGGUGCUGGUAGGGGCGGCCAUCCUCAACGGUGCGCUCAUCUACACUGUGCUGCGACACAGACUGUACAACCUGGGCCUUCUGCUGAGUCUGGCCAUCAGCAAUCUGCUGCUGAGCUGCUUCGUGCUGCCACCCACUGUCGCCGUGCUGAUCCUGCACAACUGGCUGCUUGGGCGGGUUCUUUGCCAUCUCCUUCCGUUGGUCCAGGAUAUGUUCAUCUACGUGAUGAUAUUGACUCAUCUGAUGAUCAUUGUUGAUCGAUACCGUUUGAUGCAAGGAUUGUCCAGAAUAUCCACCCUUUUGACAUCCUUGGGCGUCUGGAUGCUGUCCCUAUUCCUGGUUCUACCUUACCAACCCUACAUCAGCUACAUCGACCUGGAGAAGUACCUUGGAACUCAGUUUCACCAUGUAGGAAUAUGCACAGCCUCAAUCACAGGUUAUGUGAAACAAUACACCCGCGCUCUGGUACAAGUGAUGUAUUUCGCUCCAGUGUGUAUGAUGUCUUGUCUAUAUCUUCGUAUGCACAGAGAUCUACAGCGCAGAAGAAUGUACUGGGACGUGGUGUACGAGACGAGGACUAGUUUGGAUUCCGUGUCCAGUCCAACAACUUGCAGCGGACGAGUUAACAGAGACAUCACACUGCAGGAAAGAAGGUACCAGGAAAGUCAGAUAACGAGGGAGAAGCUGUUGCAGCAGUGCCUGGGCGCCAUGGCGGCUUUGUGCAGUGUAUGUCUGUGUCCACUGAUGGUCCUCAGGCUAGCCAAAACAAGCGUGUUGGAGAGCCAUGACAACAGCGGGCACUUCGACAUCCUGUACUCCGUGUUCGUCCUGCUGGCUUUCGUUCCCACGGUGGCCUCGCCGCUCACCUUCCUCUAUUGGUUCAUGGAGGGGUAAGGAUAAACUCAUCAUUAAGUCAAGUAGAAGACCUCGGUCUAGGAGAAUCGCUGAUGAUGAAUUACUACACUGGAAGGAGCAAUUUCCAACAUCGGCUGAGUCCCAGGCAGUGGUUGAAUGCUGACUGUGGCAGAUGUGACAGGUCGCGAGAAGGUGCGGGCGAGCGAGUUGAUGUCCUGCCCGGAGAACAUGAUCAGAGAGA